CCUUAGGGUAGAAGCGGCAACGUUCACCCAGGGCCGGAAAGUUGUCCAAACUUGGUCAUUUAGAGGAAGUAAAAGUCGUAACAAGGUCUCCGUAGGUGAACCUGCGGAGGGAUC
This 114-nucleotide ribosomal RNA is filed under the name Neofabraea krawtzewii. RNAcentral describes it as "partial 18S ribosomal RNA". It matches the Rfam family "Eukaryotic small subunit ribosomal RNA", at positions 1719 to 1827 of the family's 1831-position model. Lineage: Eukaryota; Fungi; Ascomycota; Leotiomycetes; Helotiales; Dermateaceae. The record is from RNAcentral.